Molecule: RNase P RNA, 350 nt
Filed under: Acinetobacter junii
Lineage: Bacteria; Pseudomonadati; Pseudomonadota; Gammaproteobacteria; Moraxellales; Moraxellaceae
Description: Bacterial RNase P class A
Rfam family: Bacterial RNase P class A
About the family: Ribonuclease P (RNase P) is a ubiquitous endoribonuclease, found in archaea, bacteria and eukarya as well as chloroplasts and mitochondria. Its best characterised activity is the generation of mature 5'-ends of tRNAs by cleaving the 5'-leader elements of precursor-tRNAs. Cellular RNase Ps are ribonucleoproteins.
Source: RNAcentral
AGUGGGCUGGACGGUCGCUGCUGUGGAGGUCUCCGUGACUGAAGCAGGGGAGGAAAGUCCGGGCUUCAUAGGGCAGGGUGCCAGGUAACGCCUGGGCGGCGAAAGCCGACGGCAAGUGCAGCAGAGAGUAGACCGCCUCAUUCGUGAGGUAAGGGUGAAAGGGUGCGGUAAGAGCGCACCGCGUGUCUGGUAACAGUUCACGGCAAGGUAAACCCCACCAGAAGCAAGACCAAAUAGGAAUCCUGAGGUACGGCCCGUACUGGAUUCGGGUAGGUCGCUUGAGCGUAUGAGUGAUUGUACGCCUAGAGGAAUGAUCGUCCUCGACAGAACCCGGCUUAUAGGCCCACUUC